UUCUAACAUGGACCUUCAAGCUUACAGUGGUGCUCGUAUUUUCCUCUAUUAAGAAGAAACUGGAUUAAGGUGAAAUAGACUUGAGUAACUAUUCUUACUGUCUUAUUAAUGUUGGAACUAAUGAUUUAAGGACUUUUCUGUAGAUCGUAUCAUUGCUGAUUUCAGAGAGUUAUUUGUAAAAUUUAAAUCUUUGUAUCCGACCG
This 203-nucleotide long non-coding RNA is filed under the name Mytilus galloprovincialis (Mediterranean mussel). Lineage: Eukaryota; Metazoa; Mollusca; Bivalvia; Mytilida; Mytilidae. The record is from RNAcentral.